AAACGUUUGACACCAGUUAUGCGGGUGGAAAAUCAGUCUUUUGCAGUGGGGAGUUGUGGGCGUUCAGACCGCAAGGCUGGCGUUUGCUUCAUCUUUGUUGUAAGUGAUGCACUUUUUCAUUUGCAGGUCAACAUCAGUUUGCUUUGCUGGACAAAACCCCAAGGGAAGGUGGCAGCUUAGGCUGUGUUAUAGCCCUGGGG
This 200-nucleotide ribosomal RNA is filed under the name Linnemannia elongata. Its description in RNAcentral is "Mortierella elongata partial large subunit ribosomal RNA". The record is from RNAcentral. Lineage: Eukaryota; Fungi; Mortierellomycota; Mortierellomycetes; Mortierellales; Mortierellaceae.